Sus scrofa (pig) is the source of this 1567-nucleotide long non-coding RNA. RefSeq lists it as uncharacterized. The record is from RefSeq and is a predicted model, not a curated record. Lineage: Eukaryota; Metazoa; Chordata; Mammalia; Artiodactyla; Suidae.
AGAGUCUUCUUCCUUGUUCCGCGCGUUCGGAGCGCGCUGCGGUGGCGUUGGUGCCCUCUGCUCCCCGACUCUUAGGCGAUUUACACUGGAAAUUGGGGGUCAGGGGAGGAAGAUUGUAGGUCUAAUUGCAUUUAAGAGCUACUGUAUCUGUAGUGCCAUUCGUUACCUGAUUGCUUUCUUCCUACUGGAGUUCUUCCAUUCUGCGGUGCAUUCCGAGUGAUAGCCUUGGGCGAGGCAUUGAAGGGAGGUAGAGGGAAGAAGGUGGUGGGUGCGCGAAUGAGUCAGAACCCGUGUCAUCUUUCAAAAGCUACUGUUCACCUAGAGAAGAAGCAUGGUGAAUUUGGGAGUCAAGAGAAGACAACAAAAGCUACUGAAGUUUCUGCAGGUUCAUGGACUUGGCAGUUUUACCGACAGAGAACAGCCUGAGUAUAUAUAGAAGCAGGGAAGAUCAAGUCUGUUAGAGGGUAAAUCUAGUUGACAGGAGCCAGGAGAUAUGCUUAUGGAGGAGUAAUGACUAGAUAGGAAUUGGGCUAUUUAAGUGCCUGGAAUGCCAAGAUGAAACAUAAGGAAUUUGAUGACAUUUAAGCCUAAGGGUUACAUAAUUUCGUCUAUGACCCCAAAGUUACCUUAAGAUGCUAAUGUUUGGAAUAUUCUCUGGCUCCAAUUCGUUCUUCACAGGGCGUUGCUAGAGUCAUCCUUCCAAAAGUGCAGCACUCCCUGCUCAAAACCUGUGAUGACUCAUGUGGUGAUACCCUAAUUGCCAAAAUCCAGUGACCUUUUUCAUUCUCCAUGCUAUUUGAUUUCUCAUUGUGGCACUUUUUAUCAUUUACGCUUUCCUAGAAACUGUUGAAGUAGGAAGUUUGAAGGCAAGAUUAAUUUCAGUGGCUUAAACACAGAGGGGAAAGGGAUGAGACAGAAAUCUUGGGGAACAUCUACAGCUGGAUGAAGUUGAACCAGCAGGAGAGAGGACAAGCAGAGAAGUAGAAGUUCUAGUGUUCUGUAGAGUCCAAGACCAAGGGACAGUCCUCUUCCUGCUUCAUGGAUGGCCCCACGUUGCUGAGUAAUCACAACUUUAGAAGGAUGAGGAAGCUCUGUGAGGUCUCUUUUGUGAAAGCACCAACCCCAUUCAUGAGAGCUCUACCCUCAUGACUUAAGUACCUCCCAAAGGCCUUACCUCCUAAUACCAUCACCUUUGGGGAUAGAAUUUUGAGGGAGACUUCUAGACCUCAGUACUGAUUAAACUGUCACCACAAGCAAGAUAACAGUCAUACGUCACCCCAGUUCUCCUGUCUCCUUUUGCAAUCCAGUCUCUCUCCACCUCCAUCCCCAGCAACCACUUUCUGUCAAUAUAGACUAGUUUGCAUUUUCUUGAAUUACAAUAAAUAAAUGCAAUCAUAUGCAGGUUCCCUUUUCACCUGGCUUCUUUGACUCAGAAUAAUACUGAUACUCAGUCUUGUUGCUGGUACCAACAGGUUGUAUGUGUUUUCUUUUUCUUUUUUCUUUCUUUUUUUUUUUUUUAAUCAUACUACUGACUUUAUAUUUAUUUAUUUUUUUGUCUUUUCUAGGG